UGCUGCAGGUAGCGCAGGCAGUGCUGGUGGCUGAGGCCGACCAGCUGGUGCAGGAUGUCCUCGCCGAUGCGGGUGCCAAGCUCGCUGGCGGCAUC
RNAcentral lists this transfer RNA (95 nucleotides) under compost metagenome. RNAcentral's name for it is "tRNA-Leu". The record is from RNAcentral.